This is a long non-coding RNA of Gopherus flavomarginatus (Mexican gopher tortoise), 198 nucleotides long. RefSeq lists it as uncharacterized. NCBI's taxonomy places the organism in Eukaryota, Metazoa, Chordata, Testudines, Testudinidae. The record is from RefSeq and is a predicted model, not a curated record. The transcript has 3 exons.
CCGCGGUUUGCAGGGGGGUUCGGGGAACGCGAGAGCAAACCGCGGGGAAGCAGGUCUCCUUCCCCGGUUUGCUCCCGCGUUCCCCGAACCCCCGAGCAAGCAGGUCUCCUUCCCCGGUUUGCUCCCGCGUUCCCCGAACCCCCGAGCAAGCAGGUCUCCUUCCCUGUGGUUUGCAGGGGGGUUCGGGGAACGCGAGAG